CAAAACAGCUAUGGGUCAAGUAGGAGAAUAAGAAGUCUUAUUGUAAGGGCGAGUUUUAUAAAAAAAGAACUGGCCGUCCCAUAUGAAAAGAUUAUAUUAGAAUUGAAUGAAGCUUUGUUUAUAUAUUGAUAAUGACAGUCCCACUAGUGAGUGUCUUGACUAAUUGCGUGCCAGCAGUCGCGGUAAUACGUAAGAGACUAGUGUUAUUCAUCUUAAUUAGGUUUAAAGGGUACCCAGACGGUCAAUAUAGCUUAUAAAAUGUUAGUACUUGACUAGAGUUUUAUGUAAGAGGGCAGUACUUGAGGAGGAGAGAUGAAAUUUCGUGAUACCAAAGGGACUCUGUAAAGGCGAAGGCAGCCCUCUAUGUAAAAACUGACGUUUAAGGACGAAGGCACAGAGAACAAACAGGAUUAGAUACCCAAGUAGUCUUUGCAGUAAAUGAUGAAUGCCAUAGGUUAGAUGGGUGGGUAGUCUAGUUGAGUUAGUUUAGCAAACUAAUGAUCUAGACGAGCCCACCAUAUAUUUGGUCUAUAAAUGAAAGUGUAAGCAUUUCACCUCAAGAGUAAUGUGGCAACGCAGGAACUGAAAUCACUAGACCGUUUCUGACACCAGUAGUGAAGUAUGUUAUUUAAUUC
This 635-nucleotide ribosomal RNA is filed under the name Fusarium oxysporum f. sp. ciceris. RNAcentral's name for it is "SSU rRNA". It matches the Rfam family "Bacterial small subunit ribosomal RNA", at positions 376 to 952 of the family's 1533-position model. Lineage: Eukaryota; Fungi; Ascomycota; Sordariomycetes; Hypocreales; Nectriaceae. The record is from RNAcentral.